RNAcentral lists this long non-coding RNA (3672 nucleotides) under Homo sapiens (human). Its description in RNAcentral is "HSALNT0299574". The record is from RNAcentral. Lineage: Eukaryota; Metazoa; Chordata; Mammalia; Primates; Hominidae.
GCCAGGCCUGUCUUGCUUUUUUUUACAGUAAUACCUUGGUUGAAUUUAAGGAUGGAAACUACACACACAGAAUUCUUACACGCAUGAGAUAGCCAAGAUAACAACAACUAAUAUUUAAAUGCCGAGAACACUGACUGGUACCACUCGCACUCUUAAGGACAGCACCCUGGAACUACAUCGAUUCCAGUAACCAUCCCACGCUCUACCCACUUCACCUGCAACGUGCCAGAACGCGUCGUAGAGAGAUGGAGAUGCUGGAUGAGGAUUGCCAGGUAUCAAGCCAGCUCCAAGAGCUCUGAUCUCCCAGCCCUAGGCCCCAAACCCCAGGGCCCUGCAUUCACCCUCUGACCACCAAGAGGCGGCUGCAGAGUGAAGAGGAGAAGGAAGCAACACCAGAGGGGGACAGAACCACGGCUUUGAAAUACACGCUGACUGUUCAAAUAUCCUCCUCACCACUGACCCUGCCUCCUUCCUAUUUACAGCCAACUAUCUGUGAAGAUCCUUUUCUUUUGUCCCCUGAAAGGUCACCAGUGACCCUUGGAGACCAGCCUGAGAUGCCAGGGACCAGGGUCCCAAGCCAUCAUCCCUGGCCCAAUGCUCCUGGCCAAGGUGAGCAGCAUCUCCGCAGUUCCUUAUCCCUCAUGGGAAAGGCUGUUCUCAAGGGAAACCAUCACCAGCUCUGCUGAGGGCAAUUCUGCCCCAAAGGGUCUCCUAGGUCUCAAGUAAGUGUCUUUAUUAUUUCUGACAGUGUUGAGUUGCGCCAGACUGAAACACAUACCUCCAAAAGGGAAAAUCACUUUAUUUUUAUUUUAUUUGAGUUUACUUAUUCCUAAGGGACUUGAUGAUCUCGCUGUCCAUGACUGCUUCCUGAACAUUCCUACGUUUGAGGCAAGACUUUGGACGCCUCCCCUCUGGGGAAGGUAUCUGCUCUGCAGAAGUGGCCUUGUCUUGGCAACAUUCCCUUCAAGGAUGCUAAUGCCUUAGGGCAUGAAUUACUUGCUUUGGGGUACUAGAGAAGUACCAGAAGCUUGGUAUGGGCUGAGCUAUCCUGAUGGCAUUUUCAGAAGGAGAGGUACGUGAAGUUAAAGUACUUGCUGCUCAAUUUCAGAUAGAUAGUACUUUGUUUGUACUGCAAAUGGCAUAAGCAGGUCUGUCCUGCAGGAUGCUGGGAAGAUGACUGCAUAACAUUCGUGGGAUAGAGAAGCCAAGUUCUCAAGUCUUCCGAUGAAGGUGACUCUGGCUUGUGUAAUAAAGUAUUGGCAGAGAUAGCCGAGGCCAGCAUGCAUGCUAGAGGUUCUGCAAACACUGUCAUUCGGCAGUGUACACGAUGAUUAGUUGUCUCAUCAAGGAGAGCUUAGAAGAGGUCCCUGCAGAGAACCACCCACUCUGGCUGAAGGACCAGCCUUUGUGAUCCAACCAGCACACCUCCUAUUAUGAGGUCAUGUCUUGCUUAUCCUGAGACCGCUGGUUGGCAGAGGUCUUGAACUAUUAAGAGUACAUGAAGUUAAUCUAUUUAUUUGCUCAUCGAUCUCUUUUUAUGAAACACUGUAGAACCCUGAGGUGCAAGCAGCAUCAUUUGAGAUGCCUCUGAGGCAGGAUAAUGCGUGGGAGAGACGCGUUCUUCCCGACACCAUCCUGGUCAUUUGGGGCUGGCACCAUGAUGGCUCUGGAAUGUUGGUGGCUGUGCCCAGUGACAGGCAGGAGAGAAGUGAUGGUUCCCCGUGGGGCCUGCGAUUCUUGGUGAAGCAGCAGUUGUUUCCAGGAGGAGACGUGUGAUGAGCAUUCAUGAGAGCCCUCAGGGACAUCAGAAAAUACUGGAUGGAAAGAGUUUGCACCAAGUGGAGGUUUUACAUUGCAAGUAUGGGCUGGAGCCAACAAGUCUCUGUUAUGAUUUUAAUAGUUGCCACUGUACACAGAGGAGGAUGAAGUCUGGAUGAAAUUUGGGCCACAUGAAUCUAUUGGAUCCUAGAUACCAGCAUUCUAUUUAUCUGAAUAAGAUAAAAUUCAUGGCAAUUCAACCUACUUCUGGAGAAAGACCAGCUGUAGACAGCAAACAGUCUCAAUAGAAUCUUUUAGAAGAAAUAUAUGAUGUAACUCCAAUUUAUAAAUAACAGAAGGUUUCAAGUCAAAAUCCUAACCAAUCUGCUUUGAUCUCAUUGAACAAGACUCGCUUGCAAUGAAUGACUGAAGUGGAUAUAAAACAUGAGUUCACUUAUAUGUGUCCCAUGAAACUUUUAUUACUCAUUUAUCCUUCUUACCUAGAACAAUGAACAUCAUCGCAGUGACAACCAUGCAGAAUUAGCAGAACCUGAAUUACUCCAGAUAUUCUCAUUCUUAAGUUCUGCUCAGGAAGUGUAUAUUCAUGCCAAGGCCAUGGCACUCAGGGACUUUUAAAUAAUUCUCAGGAAGAAAGAAACUGCAGAGCCCAAGUGGAAUUCUGGAUAUAAUGAAAUCCUGCCCCAGCCUGGUGGCUUCUCUCAGAUCUUUCCUCCCGGCUUGCCGCUUCAUCGUCUCUGAACCUCCUGUGUCUCCUUCGUGAUAAACUUGCAUUUUUAGAACAUUCCUGUGCUUUUCCAUGAGUGUGAGUGAGUGUUUCAGGUCAGGACGAGCCACCUCCUUCCACCCCUGCUCCCUGCUCCUGACCAGUGGUCUUUCCAGCACUCAGUUGGGGAUCCCGAAUAUGGUUCCAGGAGGCCUGGUGAAGCGCCGAUGCCACCAAGACUGUUAUUCCCCGAGAUGGAGUCCUCGGGGCUUGCCCAAUGCCACCAAGACUGUUAUUCCCCUCAGGGCUCGCCCGAUGGGCUCAGACUGGCAUGACCGUGGCUGUGUGUGUUACUUCAUUGACUGGCAGUCUGGAAGGACUCCCCCUUAUCAUGUGAUGGUGACAAGAAAGAUGAUUUGGCGGCUUUGGACCUGGAGCUGGGAGGCUGAGUGAGGAGGAUGAAGGUGCCUUCCUACACAUCCCUGCCCGCUCUGCAGGCUCGGGGCACGCACCCCUCUAUUCACUACGCCCUGAACACGCUGUGAGCUUUCGUGCCUCUCCUGCAUCGGUGCUCAUCCCAGGUUUCAAGUCAGAAAUGCCCUUUCAUCUCUGUCUAUGGAAAUUGUUUCAUGUCCUGCUCAAAUCCAUGAAUCCACUCAUUAUCAUCCACUACUAAUCCUUGUCAUUCAGAAAAACAAGGGGAAAAGUCUGACAGAACUAGCAACCCCAAGGGACUUGUGUCCUUAGAAAUCACCUGCCUUUUCCUAUUUUUAUUGUGGUGAAAUAUACAUAAAAUGUCCUAUUGUAACCUUGCAACUAAGCGCACAGUUUAGUGGCAUUGCGCCCGUUCACAUUGUUGUGCAACCAUCACAUCCUUUAUCUCCAGAACCUUCCCAAACAAACAAACUCUACCCAUUAAGUAACAACUCCCCACUCCCUACUCCCCCGGCCCCCGGUAACCACCAUUCUACUUUGUGUCUCUAUGAAUUUGCCUGUGCCAGGUACCUUGUAUAAGUGGAAUCAUACAAUAUUUGUCCUUUGGGGUGUGGCUUAUGUUACUCAACAUGCUUGCAAGGUACAUCCGUGUUAUAUUAACAGCAUGUAUCAGAAUUUCACACUUUUUAUGAGUGAAUAAUAUAUUCCAUUAGAUUUGGAAGCAACCUAAAUGUCCAUCAACAGGUGAAUGGAUA